This 265-nucleotide ribosomal RNA is filed under the name uncultured archaeon. RNAcentral's name for it is "partial 16S ribosomal RNA". It matches the Rfam family "Archaeal small subunit ribosomal RNA", at positions 717 to 982 of the family's 1478-position model. The record is from RNAcentral.
ACACGACUACAUUAGAUACCCCUGUAGUCCUAGCCGUAAACGAUACUCGCUAGGUGUCGGCCACGGUGCGACCGUUGUCGGUGCCGUAGGGAAGCCGUGAAGCGAGCCACCUGGGAAGUACGGCCGCAAGGCUGAAACUUAAAGGAAUUGGCGGGGGAGCACAACAACGGGUGGAGCUUGCGGUUUAAUUGGAUUCAACGCCGGAAAUCUUACCGGGACCGACAGCAACAUGAGGGCCAAGCUGAAGACUUUGCCGGAUUAGCUG